Molecule: ribosomal RNA, 253 nt
Filed under: uncultured bacterium
Lineage: Bacteria
Description: partial 16S ribosomal RNA
Rfam family: Bacterial small subunit ribosomal RNA
Source: RNAcentral
UACAGAGGUCUCAAGCGUUGUUCGGAUUCAUUGGGCGUAAAGGGUGUGUAGGUGGCGCGCUAAGUCGGGUGUGAAAUUUCGGAGCUUAACUCCGAAACUGCAUUCGAUACUGGCGUGCUUGAGGACUGGAGAGGAGAUCGGAAUUCACGGUGUAGCAGUGAAAUGCGUAGAUAUCGUAAGGAAGACCAGUGGCGAAGGCGGGUCUCUGGACAGUUCCUGACGCUGAGGCACGAAGGCCAGGGGAGCAAACGGG